RNAcentral lists this ribosomal RNA (253 nucleotides) under uncultured bacterium. RNAcentral describes it as "partial 16S ribosomal RNA". It matches the Rfam family "Bacterial small subunit ribosomal RNA", at positions 524 to 776 of the family's 1533-position model. The record is from RNAcentral.
UACGUAGGGGGCAAGCGUUGUCCGGAUUUAUUGGGCGUAAAGAGCGUGUAGGCGGCCAUGUAGGUCCGUUGUGAAAACUCGAGGCUCAACCUCGAGACGCCGAUGGAAACCAUAUGGCUCGAGUCCGGAAGAGGAGAGUGGAAUUCCUGGUGUAGCGGUGAAAUGCGCAGAUAUCAGGAAGAACACCCGUGGCUAAGGCGGCUCUCUAGUACGGUACUGACGCUGAGACGCGAAAGCGUGGGGAGCGAACAGG